Fragaria vesca subsp. vesca is the source of this 1080-nucleotide RNA transcript. RefSeq lists it as uncharacterized. Lineage: Eukaryota; Viridiplantae; Streptophyta; Magnoliopsida; Rosales; Rosaceae. The transcript has 6 exons. The record is from RefSeq and is a predicted model, not a curated record.
GGUUCUGAAACUCAGAAUGAACAACACCUCUACCCAUUCUGCAUGCCGGAUAACAAGGCAGGAUUGUCCUUCUAAAGAAAGAGGCUGAAAAAUACCUUCCGAGCCUCUUCGAUAAAGAAGGCAUCAAGUUGAGGAUCAGGGAUGCCCUUUCAACCCAAGAGUGGGGUUUGAAAUACAAGUACUGGACAAAUAACAAAAGCCGAAUGUAUGUGCUCGAAAACAUAGGAGACUUUGUUCAGGAAAGUGGAGUGGAGGUGGGAGAUAGCAUUCAUCUUUAUGAAGAUGAAUGCAAGAAUCUUGAACCAAUACGUCUCCAUCCACCGGCACAGAGCAAGGCCAGUACAUGUAGUUGAGCCCUCCUCAACCUCAUAUCAUCAACAAAACUAUACUGAUACCAACACCAACACCAACACCACCAUCGAUAACUCCAACACCAAAAUCUCUGCCAACGCAACAAGCAUAUACACUCCAUACGCCUACAACGAAAAUCGAACUGAUAAAGACGAGACUUCUUCAACAAUAGUAUUACAACAACAACUAAAACGCGAGGAACAACUAGAAGAAACAAACAACACGGUGACAUUGUUUACGGAUCCCGCUCCUUCAUAUAUAAAAAGUGAAGAAGUCAACAACUCCAACAAAUACGUCACUAGACAACAACAAACCUCUACUCAUCAAUUAGCCAUGGCUGAGAUAUUUGGGUCCUCAUCAUCAUCCUCACCGAGUACAGUGAAGAUGUCUGAUGAUAACUUAGGCGACUGCUAUGAAGGACUCGGGACGCUCUCGGAAGUCCAUCGUUUUGAGUUUGAUUUUGACGACAUAAUGAGAGACGACAAGACGUUAUAGUGGUGUACAAUGUACAAUAAUCUAAUGAGAUGUGUAUCUAUUCAUAAGGCUAUAUAUGUUAGCAAGAUUCUUUCUACUUAAGAAAUCUCGACAUAAUCUUCUAGAAUAUUGCCUUGUAUAUAUUCUGUAUUCAAAUCUUAGAUUAUGUAAUCUUGUCUAGUUAGAUAUCCUACUUACAAGGCUUAUUGUACUCUAUAUAUACUAGCAUUGUAAUGAAAAUACAAUUUCUACACU